Molecule: ribosomal RNA, 459 nt
Filed under: uncultured bacterium
Lineage: Bacteria
Description: partial 16S ribosomal RNA
Rfam family: Bacterial small subunit ribosomal RNA
Source: RNAcentral
CCUACGGGUGGCUGCAGUGAGGAAUAUUGGUCAAUGGCCGGAAGGCUGAACCAGCCAUGCCGCGUGAAGGUCAGUGCCCUAUGGGCGUUAAACUUCUUUUGUCAGGGAGCAAUUGGCGCUACGUGUAGCGUUAUCGAGAGUACCUGAAGAAAAAGCAUCGGCUAACUCCGUGCCAGCAGCCGCGGUAAUACGGAGGAUGCGAGCGUUAUCCGGAUUUAUUGGGUUUAAAGGGUGCGUAGGCGGAAUGCCAAGUCAGCGGUAAAAUCGCGGGGCUCAACCUCGCUCCGCCGUUGAAACUGGCGUUCUUGAGUGGGCGAGAAGUAUGCGGAAUGCGUGGUGUAGCGGUGAAAUGCAUAGAUAUCACGAAGAACUCCGAUUGCGAAGGCAGCUCACUGGACUGCAACUGACACUGAGGCUCGAAAGUGUGGGUAUCAAACAGGAUUAGAUACCCGGGUAGUC